Molecule: long non-coding RNA, 391 nt
Organism: Macrobrachium nipponense
Lineage: Eukaryota; Metazoa; Arthropoda; Malacostraca; Decapoda; Palaemonidae
Exons: 4
Source: RefSeq, a predicted model, not a curated record
UUAACUUUGAUACUUUUUUGGUACAUUCCAGAAAACCAGGACCCCCUCCAUGAUGCAGGCUAUGGGGCCACAUAAAACUUUGUCCAGGGGUUACUACAUAACAUAGCACGACAACUGUAAACUAUGUACUACUGUACUAAAGAACCCCCUGAAUGAUGUAGGCAAUGGGGCCACAUAAGACUUUGUCCAUCCAGGGUUACAUUGAGCGACAACUUUAAACUAAAGAACCCCCUGAAUGAUGUAGGCUAUGGGGCCACAUAAGACUUUGUGCAUCCAGGGUUACAUAGCAGGACAACUUUAAACUAAAAAGCUACCAGACUGGGAUUUUAGUGUACUCCAGGAUCUAACAAAGUGUGCAAUGCAUGUGUAUACGUAUAGUGACAGUGUUUAG